Molecule: ribosomal RNA, 484 nt
Filed under: uncultured bacterium
Lineage: Bacteria
Description: partial 16S ribosomal RNA
Rfam family: Bacterial small subunit ribosomal RNA
Source: RNAcentral
AUUGAACGCUGGCGGCAGGCCUAACACAUGCAAGUCGAGCGGAUGAAGGGAGCUUGCUCCUGGAUUCAGCGGCGGACGGGUGAGUAAUGCCUAGGAAUCUGCCUGGUAGUGGGGGAUAACGUCCGGAAACGGGCGCUAAUACUGCAUACGUCCUGAGGGAGAAAGAGGGGGAUCUUCGGACCUCACGCUCUCAGAUGAGCCUAGGUCGGAUUAGCUAGUUGGUGGGGUAAAGGCCUACCAAGGCGACGAUCCGUAACUGGUCUGAGUGGAUGAUCAGUCACACUGGAACUGAGACACGGACCAGACUCCUACGGGAGGCAGCAGUGGGGAAUAUUGGACAAUGGGCGAAAGCCUGAUCCAGCCAGGCCGCGUGUGUGAAGAAGGUCUUCGGAGUGUAAAGCACUUUAAGUUGUGAGGAAGGGCAGUAAGUUAAUACCUUGCUGUUUUGACGUUACCAACAGAAUAAGCACCGGCUAACUUCGUG